Non-coding RNA from Acanthosepion pharaonis, 107 nucleotides. Lineage: Eukaryota; Metazoa; Mollusca; Cephalopoda; Sepiida; Sepiidae. The record is from the annotation of a GenBank genome assembly.
GCCACAUCGGAUUGAAACACUGGUUUCCGUACGAUCACCAAAGAUAAGCAACGUCAAACCUGGUCAGUACCAAGAUGGGUGACCGCUUAAGAAUACCAAGUACUGAA